UACGUAGGUGGCAAGCGUUGUCCGGAAUUAUUGGGCGUAAAGCGCGCGCAGGCGGCCUCUUAAGUCUGAUGUGAAAGCCCCGGCUCAACCGGGGAGGGCCAUUGGAAACUGGGAGGCUUGAGUAUAGGAGAGAAGAGUGGAAUUCCACGUGUAGCGGUGAAAUGGCGUAGAGAUGUGGAGGAACACCAGUGGCGAAGGCGACGUGCUUUGGCCUAUAACUGACGCUGAGGCGCGAAAGCGUGGGGAGCAAACAGG
This 255-nucleotide ribosomal RNA is filed under the name uncultured bacterium. RNAcentral's name for it is "partial 16S ribosomal RNA". It matches the Rfam family "Bacterial small subunit ribosomal RNA", at positions 524 to 776 of the family's 1533-position model. The record is from RNAcentral.